UGGGGAAUCUUCCGCAAUGGACGAAAGUCUGACGGAGCAACGCCGCGUGAGUGAAGAAGGUUUUCGGAUCGUAAAACUCUGUCUUUUGGGGCGAACGUGAGUAUGGUGAACAAUCAUAGUCAGUGACGGUACCAAAGGAGGAAGCCACGGCUAACUACGUGCCAGCAGCCGCGGUAAUACGUAGGUGGCAAGCGUUGUCCGGAAUUAUUGGGCGUAAAGAGCGCGUAGGCGGGAUAGUCAGUCUGUUGUAAAAGUGCGGGGCUCAACCCCGUGAUGGCAAUGGAAACAGCUAUUCUUGAGUGCAGGAGAGGAAAGUGGAAUUCCCAGUGUAGCGGUGAAAUGCGUAGAUAUUGGGAGGAACACCAGUGGCGAAGGCGACUUUCUGGACUGUGUCUGACGCUGAGGCGCGAAAGCCAGGGGGAGCGAACGGGGAUUAGAUACCCCCGGUAGUCCUGGCCGUAAACGAUGGGUACUAGGUGUGGGGGGUAUCGACCCCUUCCGUGCCGGAGUUAACGCAAUAAGUACCCCGCCUGGGGAGUACGGUCGCAAGACUGAAACUCAAAUGAAUU
RNAcentral lists this ribosomal RNA (569 nucleotides) under uncultured bacterium. RNAcentral describes it as "partial 16S ribosomal RNA". It matches the Rfam family "Bacterial small subunit ribosomal RNA", at positions 355 to 911 of the family's 1533-position model. The record is from RNAcentral.